UACGGAGGGGGCUAGCGUUAUUCGGAAUUACUGGGCGUAAAGCGCACGUAGGCGGACUUGAAAGUUGGGGGUGAAAGCCCAGGGCUCAACCCUGGAACUGCCCUCAAAACUCCAGGUCUUGAGGUCGAGAGAGGUGAGUGGAAUUCCGAGUGUAGAGGUGAAAUUCGUAGAUAUUCGGAGGAACACCAGUGGCGAAGGCGGCUCACUGGCUCGAUACUGACGCUGAGGUGCGAAAGCGUGGGGAGCAAACAGG
This 253-nucleotide ribosomal RNA is filed under the name uncultured bacterium. RNAcentral describes it as "partial 16S ribosomal RNA". It matches the Rfam family "Bacterial small subunit ribosomal RNA", at positions 524 to 776 of the family's 1533-position model. The record is from RNAcentral.